Molecule: RNA transcript, 5120 nt
Organism: Cornus florida
Lineage: Eukaryota; Viridiplantae; Streptophyta; Magnoliopsida; Cornales; Cornaceae
Gene name: putative pentatricopeptide repeat-containing protein At1g77010, mitochondrial
Exons: 7
Source: RefSeq, a predicted model, not a curated record
UCAGAGUGUUGUUAUUCACCGAUCCGAAGAAGUUAUACUCUUUUAUGUUAGCCGCCAAUUUUAGAACCUUCAAAUCAAGUAACCAAGUCUCAAGCCACCACCACCUUCAUCAACUGAAUCAUCAAUGCACCUUGAUUUACAUUCAUGUGCCCGUUUACUACAAUCCUGCAACACCCACCAUUGUAUUCGACAAGGGAGACAACUCCACCUCCUAUUUCUCAAAAGGGGUGUCCUAGAUUCUGUCGUUACAAUCGGAAACCGCCUCCUACAAAUGUAUGCGAGGUGUGGCAACAUGAGCGAUGCACUGAAACUGUUUGAUGAUAUGACCCAAAGAAAUAGUUUUACUUGGAACACGAUGAUUGAAGGUUACAUGAAAUCCGGAAACAAGGACGUGUCUUUGGAGUUAUUCAAUUUCAUGCCGCACAAGAAUGAAUUCUCGUGGAAUGUAGUCAUUUCGGGGUUCUCGAAGGCCGGUGAGUUGGAGGUUGCUCGGGGCUUGUUCAAUGAGAUGCCGAGGAAAAAUGGGAUUGCAUGGAAUUCAAUUAUUCAUGGGUAUGCGAGCAAUGGGCAUCCAAGAGAAGCUGUGAGGCUGUUUAAGAGUUUGAAUUUUGAUCCGUAUGAAUUAUCUUGUGCAGAUACAUUUGUAUUGGCGACAGUUGCUGGUGCUUGUGCUGAUUUGGGGGCUCUUGAUUGGGGGAAGCAAAUUCAUGGUCGCAUCAUUACUGUUGAAGUGGGAUUUGACUCGGUCUUGGGAAGUUCACUUGUUAACAUGUAUGGUAAAUGCGGUGAUCUGGAUAGUGCUAACCAUGUGUUAAAUAUGAUGCAAGAACCAGAUGACUUCUCUUUAUCAGCCUUGAUAUCAGGAUAUGCAAAUUGUGGCAGAAUGAGUGAUGCAAGAAGAAUUUUUGAUUUUGUAAGUAAUCCAUGUGUUGUGUUAUGGAACUCCAUAAUUUCCAGUUACACUGCCAAUGACGGAGCAAAUGAGGCAUUACUUUUGUUCAAUAAGAUGCAGAAAAAUGGAGUUCCGGCAGAUGCUUCAACUUUUGCCAGUGUCUUUAGCGCCUGCACUAGCUUAGGGAUUUUUGAGAAUGUUAAGAAAAUGCAUGCUUUUACUUUUAAAGUUGGGGUUAUUGAUGACCUCAUUGUUGCUAGUGCUCUUGUUGAUACAUAUUCCAAGUGUGAAAGCCCUUAUGAGGCUUGCAAAUUAUUUGACGAGCUUGAAGUGUAUGACACAGUUUUGCUCAAUUGUAUGAUCACUGUGUACUCUAAUUGUGGUAGAAUUGAAGAUGCGAAAAGGAUCUUUGAGACUAUGCCAACUAAAAGCUUGAUCUCUUGGAAUUCAAUGAUAGUUGGUUUCAGUCAAAAUGGUUGUCCAAUUGAUGCACUAGAUAUUUUCUGCAAGAUGAACAAGACAGGAUUGGGCAUGGACAAAUUUGGCCUGGCCAGUGUGAUCAGUGCUUGUGCUAGCAUUUCUUCACUUGAACUUGGCGAACAGGUAUUUGCUCGAGCCAUUGGCAUCGGCCUGGAACUUGAUCAGAUCAUUUGUACCUCUCUUAUUGAUUUUUACUGUAAGUGUGGAUUUGUUCAUAAUGGACGCAAACUGUUUGACCAAAUGAUAAAAUCUGAUGAAGUUUCGUGGAAUUCUAUGUUAAUGGGCUAUGCUACAAAUGGUUUUGGUUUUGAAGCACUAAGUCUGUUCAAUGAAAUGAUUUCUGCUGGUGUUGGUCCUACUGGUAUCACAUUUACAGGGGUUUUAUCAGCCUGUGACCAUUGUGGACUGGUUGAAGAGGGAAAGAAAUGGUUUUAUGCGAUGAAAUGGGACUACCAUAUUGAUCCGGCGAUUGAGCACUACUCUUGCAUGGUUGAUCUCUUUGCUCGUGCUGGCUUCAUUGAAGAAGCUUUGAAUCUGAUUGAAGACAUGCCAUUUGAGGCAGAUGCAAGCAUGUGGUCGUCAGUUUUAAGGGGCUGUGUAGCUCAUGGAGAUAACACUCUUGCAAAGAAAGUGGCAGAGCGAAUCACUGGGCUUGAUCCCGAGAAUGCAGGUGCUUAUGUACAAUUAUCUAGCAUAUUUGCCGCUUCUGGUGACUGGGAAGGAUCAGCUCAAGUCAGGAAGUUGAUGAGGGAAAAGAGAAUACAGAAGAAUCCUGGUCGCAGUUGGGCUGAUACUUAAACUGAAAACUCUGAUGGUGGCAUAUUUUCUUGAAGUAAGGUGGUCCCUCUCUUCACCGAUCUGAAACAAGUCAAUUUUCAAAUCUUCAAACCAGUCAUUGUCAAGAUCAUGAGCUAUCAGUAGCCAUGAACUCAAGUGUCCAUUAUUCUCAGCCACUAAAAGUAUCAUGCAGGAGACUUUAAUCUUGUUUGGAGGAGACACAACCUUUAAAUGCAUCCUAUUAACCUGAAGCCCAUCCCCCAAUAAGAUUCUCUUCAAGUGAAGACUGUCCUCUUCAAGAAUUUUGAGGAAAAAGACUUUGCAUUGCUCAAUAGUGGUAUGUGAUAAUCUGAAAUCAGAACUGAAGCACAGCCAGUUCAAAUUGACAUCUCUUGUGUUUGCCACUUCAUAACCACUUUCUGCAAUUACAGUGCAAGGUUUUUCUUGAAAGCAACGCACUUUUAUGUCUUCAUUCUCAUUUUCCAGUGCUCUGGAAGCAUGGUUCUAACUGAGCCAUGAGUCUCUCCAGACAGGCUGAAGGGCUUGUUGGAGAUUGCCCCCAACUCAAGCAUAUACUCCACAGUUUUGAGGCUGAAUUCUGGUAACGUGACACUUCUUGAGAAUGGUUGAACCUUUACUACAAAAUCGCAUUGGAUAUAACUCGAAUGAAGACCUCAAUAAGUGUCAAGUAAGCAUGAAGUGAUCACUGGUAACGUGACACUUCUUGAGAAUGGUUGAACCUUUACUACAAAAUCGCAUUGGAUAUAACUCGAAUGAAGACCUCAAUAAGUGUCAAGUAAGCAUGAAGUGAUCAGCUCCUAGUCUUCACUCGAUGUUACCUGGAACAGAGAUGAUUAUGGUACAUGGAACAUCAACUCAAAUAUGGACUGAAAGAAGGGGUGCUGAAGAAGUGCAAGCUUUCUUCUCCAUAUACGUGGGUAGCUGCUUAAGUGCAUAACCAGUCAUAAUGGCGGGGAAGAAAAGAAAGGGUUGGGUCAGAUUAUUACAGCAUUACUUAUUUGUAGGCUUGGUUGGGAGACCGUAGAGGAGACGGUGGAAUUUGACAAGAAUUGAGUCCUGCCCUAUCACAAGUGGCAAGUUCUAGGGUGAAUCUCCCAGUAGAAUACGAGAAUGUUCUCGGUGUAGAUCUAGAGGAAAUGGAAUGAAGAUGAAUCCCCUCAAAUGCUUUCUGGGGGGCUUUGUUGGUCCCCUCUUGCCUUCUUAACAGCUGGUCACUCGUGUGGUACUUCAUUGUACGAUAUAUAUAUAUAAGAUCCAUCUGCAUAGAUAUCAUAGACCCACUCCCUCGCUUCCUAUUCAAAUUCUAUUUCUCUUUUUUUAUUCAGUCAAAUGGAUAAACAUUUAUUAUGACACCCAUCUGAAAAGGGGAAGGAAUGGGAAGGAUUUGAUAUGGAGUUUCAGUUUAUAAGAAAUUGUUUAUUAACCAUAUUUGCCCUAUGCUCAGACUGUCCAAUCCGACCGUUGUCACACUACAACAAAAGAUAGUUCUAGCAGCAAAAAUUUAGCACCAUUUAUGAAAAAAUGCUGUUAGAAAAUAUUUUUUCAACAGUACCAUGAGAACUUUUAGAAAAUGCUUCAUAUUUUCUUUUUUAUUUUCUCACUCCUCACUCUCUUUCGUAAUAAAUUUUUCUUUUUAUUUUCUUUUCUCACUCCUCACCCCAGUCCUCUUUCUCACUCUUCAUCAUAAACUUGUCGUUCUCUAACUCUAUUCCCAAAAUCAAUUCAUCGCACUCCAAAAGCAACAGCAACUCUUCAUGGAGCGAUGAUGUCUGCGUUUCCAAGUCCCAAUCUUCGUGGCCGGGAAUCAGACUCCAGCUUCGAGUCGAGAAUAUCCAGGGUUCUCUCACUCUAUCUGAUCAGAACUUCUCAAUCUAAGAGCGUCGUUUCCAUUUUCAAUGGAGAGCUUCGAUUCUAAUUCGGAGAGAAAUCCAAACCAAGCUGUUGAUUUGAUUAAUUGGUCUGUCCUAUUUGAUUUUGGAGCUAAAUCGAUCUGAUUCGCCUGCUUUGUUUCUCUCUGAUUCAAUCAGUAUUGCAGCAAAAGGAUCAGUGGGUUUGACACGGUACCUCCUGCUUCUCCAAUAACAGCCAGUGCUGUUGCUGCAACAGCUACUGUAGUGAAGGUUGUUAUUCUGCGUCCAAAUCCCAACAGCAAACCAUCCCCUGAGGUUGGAAAGGUGUAUACAUUUGGUCUGACUUUUCGAGCAGAUAAUUGGGACACUUCUAGUCACUUGACUGAAUUUUGGGUUGUACGUAGCGAACGAUGGUACUUAGAGGAUGACAAGGAUGAUACAUGGGGUCUCUUCUUUUUUUACGAUUUGAUGCAAAUCCUAAGAAUUUGAGACAUUAAAAAUUCUUUUAUUUUCUUUGUUAUUGAGACAUAGUUACACUCAUAAAUGCAUAGUAAUUCUUUUCUUUUUUUUUUGUUGACUUUGUUGUGGAUUGGGUUUAUUUGGUUAUUAAAUUUGGUUUAUGAAUGGAUUUACCUUGAUUAUAAAAUUUAAUUUUUUAAAAAAAAUUUGCUUCAUUUACAUGUAUUGUUAUGACCAUUUAAAAUAGUGUCAUUUUUCGUAACAUUCAUAUUUGCUACCAUAUUUUUCUUAGAUACAGCAGCAGAUACAAUUGCUACCAUGCUUGUUGCGACACAGGUUAUGACAAUAAAUACAAAUUCUUCCUAUAAAUGUUACUAAGUAGUUAUUGCAGCAAUUAUUUUAUUUAUUAAUUUUUUUUUUCUUUUAACGGCAAAUAAAAUUUUUGUUAGAGACCAUAAUUGUUGCAGUGGCCUGUGGUUGCAUUUGGACUCUUCCGGUACAUUGGAGAAAAUUAUCAACCAAAAUAAAAUAAAAUAAAAUAAAAUAAAAAAUUUAAAAUUACAACAUACGGUGAUAUUCCAAUGCCCUCUUUUAAGGUUUGGACAAAUUACACGUGGAUAGACCGUUAAGUGUUUAUUACU